RNAcentral lists this ribosomal RNA (445 nucleotides) under uncultured bacterium. RNAcentral's name for it is "SSU rRNA". It matches the Rfam family "Bacterial small subunit ribosomal RNA", at positions 26 to 518 of the family's 1533-position model. The record is from RNAcentral.
AGAACGAACGCUGGCGGCAGGCUUAACACAUGCAAGUCGAACGGUUGUAGCAAUACAGCAGUGGCGCACGGGUGAGUAACGCGUGGGAACAUACCUUUCAGUUCGGGAUAACAGCGGGAAACUGCUGCUAAUACCGAAUAUUCUCUCCGGAGGAAAGAUUUAUCGCUGAAAGAUUGGCCCGCGUCAGAUUAGCUAGUUGGUGGGGUAAUGGCCUACCAAGGCUCCGAUCUGUAGCUGGUCUGAGAGGACGACCAGCCACACUGGAACUGAGACACGGUCCAGACUCCUACGGGAGGCAGCAGUGGGGAAUAUUGGACAAUGGGCGAAAGCCUGAUCCAGCCAUGCCGCGUGAAUGAUGAAGGCCUUAGGGUGUAAAGUUCUUUGUCAGGAAGAUAAUGACGGUACCUGAAGAAUAAGCACCGGCUAACUUCGUGCCAGCAGCCGC